GUGGAUGUAGUUCAAAGGUAGAGCACAAGAUUGUGGAUCUUGUUGUUGCGGGUUCGAGCCCCGUCAUCCACC
Molecule: transfer RNA, 72 nt
Filed under: Spirochaetia bacterium
Lineage: Bacteria; Pseudomonadati; Spirochaetota; Spirochaetia
Description: tRNA-His
Rfam family: tRNA
About the family: Transfer RNA (tRNA) molecules are approximately 80 nucleotides in length. Their secondary structure includes four short double-helical elements and three loops (D, anti-codon, and T loops).
Source: RNAcentral